GAACUGAAGAGUUUGAUCCUGGCUCAGAUUGAACGCUGGCGGCAUGCCUUACACAUGCAAGUCGAACGGCAGCACGGGAGCAAUCCUGGUGGCGAGUGGCGAACGGGUGAGUAAU
Molecule: ribosomal RNA, 115 nt
Filed under: Burkholderiales bacterium
Lineage: Bacteria; Pseudomonadati; Pseudomonadota; Betaproteobacteria; Burkholderiales
Also listed under: 2 other names
Description: partial 16S ribosomal RNA
Rfam family: Bacterial small subunit ribosomal RNA
Source: RNAcentral